RNAcentral lists this ribosomal RNA (460 nucleotides) under Streptococcus sinensis. RNAcentral's name for it is "bacterial SSU rRNA". It matches the Rfam family "Bacterial small subunit ribosomal RNA", at positions 28 to 470 of the family's 1533-position model. Lineage: Bacteria; Bacillati; Bacillota; Bacilli; Lactobacillales; Streptococcaceae. The record is from RNAcentral.
GACGAACGCUGGCGGCGUGCCUAAUACAUGCAAGUGGAACGCACGAGGUACACCGUAGUUUACUACAUCGUACUUUGUGAGUCGCGAACGGGUGAGUAACGCGUAGGUAACCUACCUUUUAGCGGGGGAUAACUAUUGGAAACGAUAGCUAAUACCGCAUAAGAUAUCUUACUGCAUGGUAAGAUAUUAAAAGAUGCAAUUGCAUCACUAAGAGAUGGACCUGCGUUGUAUUAGCUAGUAGGUGAGGUAACGGCUCACCUAGGCAACGAUACAUAGCCGACCUGAGAGGGUGAUCGGCCACACUGGGACUGAGACACGGCCCAGACUCCUACGGGAGGCAGCAGUAGGGAAUCUUCGGCAAUGGGGGGAACCCUGACCGAGCAACGCCGCGUGAGUGAAGAAGGUUUUCGGAUCGUAAAGCUCUGUUGUAAGAGAAGAACGAGUGUGAGAGUGGAAAGUU